Molecule: ribosomal RNA, 684 nt
Filed under: uncultured crenarchaeote
Lineage: Archaea; Thermoproteati; Thermoproteota
Description: bacterial SSU rRNA
Rfam family: Archaeal small subunit ribosomal RNA
Source: RNAcentral
AGGACCACCAGUGGCGAAAGCGUCAGACUGGAACGCGCCUGACGGUGAGGGACGAAAGCCAGGGGAGCGAACCGGAUUAGAUACCCGGGUAGUCCUGGCCGUAAACGAUGCAUACUAGGCAAUGGUGCGGCUAUGAGCCGCAUCAGUACCGUAGGGAAACCGUUAAGUGUGCCGCCUGGGAAGUACGGUCGCAAGGCUAAAACUUAAAGGAAUUGGCGGGGGAGCACCACAAGGGGUGAAGCCUGCGGUUCAAUUGGACUCAACGCCGGGAAACUUACCAGGGGAGACAGCAGAAUGACAGUCAGGUUGACGACCUUACUCGACGAGCUGAGAGGAGGUGCAUGGCCGUCGCCAGUUCGUGCUGUGAGGUAUCCUGUUAAGUCAGGCAACGAACGAGAUCCGCGCCUUUAUUUGCCAUCAAGAAGUCACGACUUCGUUGGGAACACUAAAGGGACCGCCGUCGAUAAGACGGAGGAAGGAGCGGGCAAAGGCAGGUCAGUAUGCCCCGAAACCCCUGGGCUACACGCGGGCUGCAAUGGUGCGAACAAUGGGCUGUAACUCCGAAAGGAGAAACCAAUCCCGAAAUCGCAUCUCAGUGGGGAUUGUCGACUGUAACUCGUUGACAUGAACGUGGAAUCCCUAGUAAUCGCGUGUCACCAUCGCGCGGUGAACACGUCUCUGCUC